Molecule: ribosomal RNA, 465 nt
Filed under: uncultured bacterium
Lineage: Bacteria
Description: bacterial SSU rRNA
Rfam family: Bacterial small subunit ribosomal RNA
Source: RNAcentral
CCUACGGGUGGCAGCAGUGGGGAAUAUUGCACAAUGGGCGCAAGCCUGAUGCAGCCAUGCCGCGUGUAUGAAGAAGGCCUUCGGGUUGUAAAGUACUUUCAGCGGGGAGGAAGGCGAUAAGGUUAAUAGCCUUGUCGAUUGACGUUACCCGCAGAAGAAGCACCGGCUAACUCCGUGCCAGCAGCCGCGGUAAUACGGAGGGUGCAAGCGUUAAUCGGAAUUACUGGGCGUAAAGCGCACGCAGGCGGUCUGUCAAGUCGGAUGUGAAAUCCCCGGGCUCAACCUGGGAACUGCAUUCGAAACUGGCAGGCUAGAGUCUUGUAGAGGGGGGUAGAAUUCCAGGUGUAGCGGUGAAAUGCGUAGAGAUCUGGAGGAAUACCGGUGGCGAAGGCGGCAACCUGGCUCGAUACUGACGCUGAGGCGCGAAAGCGUGGGGAGCAAACAGGAUUAGAUACCCCAGUAGUC